RNAcentral lists this transfer RNA (87 nucleotides) under Synechococcaceae cyanobacterium RL_1_2. RNAcentral describes it as "tRNA-Ser". It matches the Rfam family "tRNA". From Rfam's summary of the family: Transfer RNA (tRNA) molecules are approximately 80 nucleotides in length. Lineage: Bacteria; Bacillati; Cyanobacteriota; Cyanophyceae; Synechococcales; Synechococcaceae. The record is from RNAcentral.
GGAGGGGUGGCAGAGCGGUUGAAUGCGGCGGUCUCGAAAACCGUUAUGGCUGCAAAGUCAUCGAGGGUUCGAAUCCCUCCUCCUCCG